GAGCGGGCAUCGCAAGAUGUCAGCGGCAGACGGGAGAGUAACACGUGGGAACGUGCCCUUCAGUUCGGAACAACCCAGGGAAACUUGGGCUGAUACCGGAUACGUCCGUAAGGAGAAAGAUUUAUUGCUGAAGGAUCGGCCCGCGUCUGAUUAGCUAGUUGGUGGGGUAAUGGCCCACCAAGGCGACGAUCAGUAGCUGGUCUGAGAGGAUGAUCAGCCUCACUGGGACUGAGACACGGCCCAUACUCCUACGGGAGGCAGCAGUGGGGAAUAUUGGACAAUGGGCGCAAGCCUGAUCCAGCCAUGCCGCGUGGGUGAUGAAGGCCCUAGGGUUGUAAAGCCCUUUCGGCGGGGAAGAUAAUGACGGUACCCGCAGAAGAAGCCCCGGCUAACUUCGUGCCAGCAGCCGCGGUAAU
This 416-nucleotide ribosomal RNA is filed under the name uncultured bacterium. Its description in RNAcentral is "bacterial SSU rRNA". It matches the Rfam family "Bacterial small subunit ribosomal RNA", at positions 64 to 524 of the family's 1533-position model. The record is from RNAcentral.